UCAUGCCAAAUGCGUGAUAGCUGGCAAUCCUGUACUGUGCACUUUCCUCACACCUCUUAUAUAUAUUAAUAUAUUUGGAAGAUGGAAAUGUCAUCGUUUAGUUUUUCUUUUUCUAAUCACAAACAAAUGGACAUAAAAGUUAAUUUAAAUUAGUUUAAUCAUUUUAGUAUGAUUUGAUGUUGCCAGUUUUGCCAUGCUCCUGAGUAAUAGACACUAAAAUGUAUUUUUUUUAUAGCAUUUUCAAGACACCAACUCUAGGGAUUGCCAACUUUCACGCAUCUGGCGUGACACUCACACUUUAAGACUUUUGCGCUCAUGCAAGGAAUUUUACGGCAAAUCUAUAUUAUUCCAUUAUAAACCUAAAAUUAGCUGCAUCAAAAGCGUUGGGGUAGUUUGCAAGCCCUAGAGACUUCUUACAAGGUAAUAAAACUGUUACAUACAUGUAAAUGCGUGUGCAUGAGUGUUCAGAUUUGUUUCAAAUUGAAAAUCUCACUCCAGCCAGCUGAUCAAAGUUGACAACCCCGAAGUCAUUUUUUCCAUUCCCCAAUUAACAUGUUUCAAGUAAAACGUUUUAUCUUAAGGUUGUUCUUUAGUAGGAUAUAAAUUUAGUUUUUUUCCUACAUCCUCAAUGACACUUUCCAUCCUGUUAGUCUGCUCUAACAUUCAUUCACAUAACAAUAGCUAGUCCCUUUUUAAGUCAUCCAUCAGGAAAUUACAUCAUUUAGGAUGGAAAAACAACAGCCCAACAACUCAAUGUCCACUAAGUAUUACCAAUGUGUUUUAUGAAUUUAGUAAAGUCUCAUGAAUUCAAUUAGAUUAUCUAACUAUACAAAUUCUGUCAUUUUAGGUAAAAAUCAUAGAAAUGAAUAAUUCAAUAUCAAAAUUUCCAAAGAUGCUUGAAAAAGAUCAAAUUAAUUUCAACUGUGCAUCCUAUGUUAGCUUACUUUGACUGAGCAAGACCUAACUUAACCUCUCAGUUUCCAUCCUGUUUGAUGGAGCAUGUAGCUAUCGGGAUGGAAAGUUAUAAACUCUAAUAAACACAUAUAAUGUUAAUUCAUUCAAGAGUUAUUGCUAUUUGCAUAAUGACUUUUGCAUAUUUACAUUUUUUUUACAUUACAUUAUGUCAGGUCUAUAAUUCAUUUCCAGGCUAUAUCCCAUGUAAGUUGUAUUAAUACUUGUACACAUGCCUAAGUGAACAUUGCUGAGUUCUGCUCAAAUGCACUGUACUGUAAAUCGUGCUGCGAUGCAGAACCUGAAAAAUAUCAAAAAAUAUCUUAGGGAGGAGACGAAGAACUGGCAAAGAGACAAAGAAAGUGGGAUGAAAAAGUCAAUAGCAGAUGUCAGUGUGAGAGAAGCAGUGGAGAGAACUGAAAGGGUUAGGAAAAGCUAUAGCAAGCAAGAGAGCACCUCUACAACCUACAGUAAAUCCACUGAGGCAAUGUCAAAAGGUGGAAAGAAGGAUGGCUGUUUGUCUUCAGCUGUGACCUGUGUGCUGUGUAGAGCGGAGGAAGAGAAAACAGGAAAAAACACUGGAAUAUUACAUAAGAAGUAAACAAAAGAUGCACACAUACAUUUUGGCAAAAUAUACAGCAGUGGUAUUUUGUUAAUAGGACUUUUAUUCUACACACAAAAGGU
Long non-coding RNA from Paramormyrops kingsleyae, 1635 nucleotides. RefSeq lists it as uncharacterized. The record is from RefSeq and is a predicted model, not a curated record. NCBI's taxonomy places the organism in Eukaryota, Metazoa, Chordata, Actinopteri, Osteoglossiformes, Mormyridae.